RNAcentral lists this ribosomal RNA (253 nucleotides) under uncultured bacterium. RNAcentral describes it as "partial 16S ribosomal RNA". It matches the Rfam family "Bacterial small subunit ribosomal RNA", at positions 524 to 776 of the family's 1533-position model. The record is from RNAcentral.
GACGAACCGUGCGAACGUUGUUCGGAUUCACUGGGCUUAAAGGGCGCGUAGGCGGGCAUCCAAGUCAGGGGUGAAAUCUUUCGGCCCAACCGGAAAAGUGCCUUUGAUACUGGGUGUCUCGAGUGAGGUAGGGGCAUGUGGAACUUCCGGUGGAGCGGUGAAAUGCGCAGAUAUCGGGAGGAACACCAGUAGCGAAGGCGGCACUCUGGGACGGUACUGACGCUGAGACGCGAAAGCGUGGGGAGCGAACAGG